UACGUAGGUGGCAAGCGUUGUCCGGAUUUAUUGGGUUUAAAGGGUGCGUAGGCGGCCCUGUAAGUCAGUGCUGAAAUAUCCCGGCUUAACCGGGAGGGUGGCAUUGAUACUGCGGGGCUAGAGUACAGAUGAGGUAGGCGGAAUUGACGGUGUAGCGGUGAAAUGCUUAGAUAUCGUCAAGAACACCGAUAGCGAAGGCAGCUUACUGGGACGGUACUGACGCUGAGACGCGAAAGCGUGGGGAGCGAACAGG
Molecule: ribosomal RNA, 253 nt
Filed under: uncultured bacterium
Lineage: Bacteria
Description: partial 16S ribosomal RNA
Rfam family: Bacterial small subunit ribosomal RNA
Source: RNAcentral